UGCACGGCGCACGCCCACAAUGCACCGCGACGUCGCGCCUUGGAAAAAGAAAGCGCCGCAGUCCUCUACGGAAAUGUCCGAAGGAGCUCUAGCGGCCUUUUCCGGAGAUACCCGAAAACGGGCGAGGACCGCUAAGCGGGCGCCUUAGCGGGAAAAGCCGAAUUGCUUCGGGGCGAGCGGCGUGUUACGGAAAUGCCCGAGCAGGCGAAAGAAGUCGUGGAAACAGGAAGGAGAGCUCCUGAAAAACGCGGAACUGGGCAACGCGUGCGUGGAUGGAGCAGAGCUCAUAGGGCAGGCGGGGAGAUGGCGGAAGAGGCCGGCAUCCGCGCUGCGCUCUUUUUACGAGCUUCCCAACUGCAUUACAGGGACCUCUCUUCGAAAAACACAGUUGCUGUGGGUCCAGAAAAAUGCAUGUGUUGAUUGGCUUCUCUGCAAACAAGAGAGAAGCCGAACAUCUGUCAGAUUGGGAGAGCAUCUGGAUAAAAAUUUCAGCAGACGUACACAACAGGUGGUGAUAUAGGAAGCAAUUGUUUUAUCUUUUAGAAAGUGUUGGAAAAAUACUCACGAGGCUGCCGAAACACUCAUUUGAAAAAGAGGAAAUGCUUCUUUUAAAAGGUCAGGGGCAAAGUCGCUUCAGUAGCAACUUUGGGCGUUGCGCAUUGUACUUAUAUGGAAUAAUCUGGAUGAUGUGACUGUGCAACCUGACACACUAGCAAAUGACAAUACUAGCUUUACUGCUAAUGAGGUGAAGUGUAGAAGAGAAAGAUAAAAAUAAUGAAAAGUGAAA
Long non-coding RNA from Elgaria multicarinata webbii, 787 nucleotides. RefSeq lists it as uncharacterized. NCBI's taxonomy places the organism in Eukaryota, Metazoa, Chordata, Lepidosauria, Squamata, Anguidae. The record is from RefSeq and is a predicted model, not a curated record. The transcript is spliced from 2 exons.